Non-coding RNA from Pantherophis guttatus, 859 nucleotides. The record is from RefSeq and is a predicted model, not a curated record. NCBI's taxonomy places the organism in Eukaryota, Metazoa, Chordata, Lepidosauria, Squamata, Colubridae.
GCAAUUCCUAGAAGAGUAACAUGCCCACACUAACAUAACAGAGACAGCAUCACCAGCAAAAUUAACAGUUUACCUGUGAUGUGUGUCUCUGUGUCUGCCAGCUGUAAAAAUGUUUGGAUUCAGGGGUACAGUAUGCACCUCUUCUGCUACUUUAUCUUCUGGAGUGCCUCUGAAAACCUGAAGGCUUGCCAGGAUCCACAGGUAGUGGGGGUCUGCACAAUUGUGAUGUGACCUGAGCCAAUCAUCACCUCUGCAUUCUAGACAGCAACUAAGGCCUUUGUUGAUUUGUCAUCAAAAACAGGAAAUUCUCUUUGGAAGUGAGCAAACCAUCAAGCACCUGGGAUAAACUGAUUGAAUAGGACAUUCCUCUGUUAGAGGAGUCUGCUCUCCCAAAACACCAACUCUCCCCCACUUUUACCUAUCACAUCCUCACGUCAAAAGGCUCCAUCAAUAACACAAUCAUGGAGAAAAUCUAUCUAAAUAAGGCCAACAAUUUACUGACAUACUAAGAGAGGAGCAGUUUUGCUCUCAACACUAUCUCCCAACAGUGGCACUUAUUGCCACUAUAGCUGAAUCCAGCUAGUUUGCUGCUGGCCAUCCUCUUCUUCUCUUUCUUUACAUUUUUCCCAGCAUCAGAGCCUUCUCUAGGGAUCUAAAUCUUUAUAUAAUGUGUCUGAAGUAGGAUAAUUUGAGCCUGACCAUUUGUACCUUGACUAAGAAUCUGGGUUAAUUUGUUAAAUAAUUAUGAUAAUGUAAUUGCUAAGAGUCAAUAUGAAUUCAACAGCACAUAAUCAACCAAUUACUGGUGUUAUUGAUUCUUAUCUAUCUUAUGGUAUUAAAUUUUAUCUUGGUGUUUAAA